GCUCCGGUGCCGGACCCACCCCCAGCCCCGGCCAGGGACCCCCUCCCCUCCCGGGACCCCCUGGGGUUCCCACCCCUCCCGCACCGCCGGGGACCAGGCCAGCCCGGCGUGAGUCCCUGUCUGGGGCCCUGGCUCGGCCCCCAGGUUGGAGGAGCCCGAAGCCGGCCCUCCGAGCGACAGCCCAGCAGCGGCGGCAAGCUGCAGUCUGUAGGGUCCAUGCUUAUAAUUCUCAAUGGAGAGUGAAAACAAAGAUUCAUAAUGAAAACCAGCCCCUGGUGGCCACUGAUUCUCAAAAGACGGAGGCUGCCCCUUCCUGUUCAAAAUGCCCCAGGUGAAACAUCAGAGGAGGAACCUAAGAGACUCACUGCUCAACAGGAGCCUAGUCAAGCACAGGCCUCCAAAGAAGUGGCAGAGUCUAGCUCCUGCAAGUUUCCAGCUGGGAUCAAGAUUAUUAACCAUCCCACCAUGCCCAAUACCCAAGUUGUGGCCAUCCCCAGCAAUGCCAAUAUCCAGAGCAUCAUCACAGCAUUGACUGCCAAAGGCAAAGAGAGUGGCAGCAGUGGACCCAACAAAUUCAUCCUCAUCAGCUGUGGGGGAGGCCCAACUCACACUGCAGGACUCCAGCCUCAAACCCACAUCACCAAUGAUGCUAGGAAGACAACAGUGAUCACCGAAACAUUGGGACCCAAACCUGCAGCUAGGGAUGUGAAUCUUCCCAGGCCACCUGGAACCCUUUUGGGACAGAGACGGGAGAGCUGUGGAGGUGAGGCAGCAGGCUGCACUCUUGACAACAGCUUAACCAACAUCCAGUGGCUUGGAAAGAUGAGCUCUGAUGGACUGGGCUCCUGUGGCAUAAAGCAAGAGAUGGAAGAAAAGGAGAAUUGUCACCUGGAACAGAAACCAGUUAAGGUUGAGGAGCCCUCAGGAGCAUUGACAUCCUGGCAUGACUCUGUGUCUAAGCGGCCACCCUACUCUUACAUGGCCAUGAUACAGUUCGCCAUCAACAGCACUGAGAGGAAGCGCAUGACCUUGAAAGACAUCUAUACCUGGAUUGAGGACCACUUCCCCUAUUUUAAGCACGUUGCUAAGCCAGGUUGGAAGAAUUCCAUUCGCCACAACCUUUCUCUCCAUGAUAUGUUUGUUCGGGAGACAUCUGCUAAUGGCAAGGUUUCCUUCUGGACCAUUCACCCCAGUGCCAAUCGCUACUUGACCUUGGACCAGGUUUUUAAGCAGCAGAAACGACCAAAUCCUGAGCUCCGAAGGAAUGUGACCAUCAAAACUGAACUCCCGCUGGGCGCACGGCGGAAGAUGAAGCCACUGCUACCUCGGGUCAGCUCAUACCUGGUACCCAUACAGUUCCCAGUGAAUCAGUCACUGGUGUUGCAGCCCUCGGUGAAGGUGCCGUUGCCCUUGGCAGCUUCACUCAUGAGCUAGGAGCUCGCCCGCCAUAACAAGCGAGUCCGCAUCGCCCCCAAGGUACUGCUGGCCGAUGAGGGCAUAGCCCCUCUCCCUGCUGCAGGGCCAGUGAAAGAGGAGAAGCUCCUGCUGGGGGAAGGACUGUCUUCUUUUCUUCCAGUUCAGUCCAUCAAAGAGGAAGAACCCCCUCCUGGGGAGGAGACACUGCACUUAGCAAGACCCAUCAAAGUGGAGAGCCCGCCCUUGGAAGAGUGGCCCUCCCCGUACCCAUCUUUCAAAGAGGAAUUAUCUCACUCCUGGGAAGACUCAUCCCACUCUCCCACCCCAAAGUCCAAGAAGUCCCACAGUGGCAUCAAGUCCCCAGCCCGGCGUGUCUCGGAAAUGCUCGUAAUUAAACGCAGGGAGAGGAGGGAGAUGAGCCGGUCUCGAAGGAAACAGCAUCUGCGGCCUCCCUGCCUUGAUGAGCCUGAGCUGCUCUUCUCAGAGGGUCCCAGCACUUCCCGACGUGCCACAGAACUCCCUUUCCUAGCAGAUUCCUCUGAGCCUGUCCCCCAACUUGUCUACUCUCAGGAGGAGGGAGGAUCUUUUAAGACACCCAUAAAGGAGACACUGCCCAUCUCCUCCACUCCCAGCAAAUCUGUUCUUCCCAGAACCCCUGAAUCCUGGAGGCUCACACCCCCAGCCAAAGUAGGAGGGCUGAAUUUCAGCCCAGUACGAACCCCCCAUGGUGCCUUUGGCAACCUGCCUGAUUCCCUGGGGCUGAUGGAUCCCAGCACUACUCCACUGAAAAGUGUUCCCCUCUUUGACUCACCCGGAGAGCUCCUCUAUUCGGAACCCUUUGAACUUAACACUGACCCCUUUGGCAACUCUUCCCCCUCAAAUAUGGAGGUCCCCAAGCCAGGCUCUCCAGAGCCACAGGCUCCCAGCCUUUCAGCCAAUCGUUCUCUGACAGCAGGCCUGGUUCUGGACACGAUGAAUGACAGCCUCAGCAAGAUCCUGCUGGACAUCAGCUUCCCUGGCCUGGAGGAGGACCUGCUGAACCCUGACAACAUCAACUGGUCCCAGUUCAUUCCUGAGCUGCGGUAGAGACCUGGUCUUGUCCUUGUGCUCAAGCUGUCCACCAUCCCAGGAACGCAUGUGUCUCAGCAGCCCAAGGCUCUCUGUACCCCAGGCCUCUGAGUGAGGACGGCAGUAGGGGCCCAUCCUGUACCUCCUCGCUCUAUUCUGCUUGAUUAUGCCGAGGCAGCUAUCAAGUCCUGGCCAUUGCUGAGACCUUAUACUCCCAAGAGACUCUGAGGCUUCUAUUCUCCCUGCCAGGAGCUGAAGAGUAGGAAUGACGAAAGCAAUGAAGAAAAGAGAUUAGGAACUCCCCAAACUGUUUCCAUUCUGUGCCCAGCAGUCUCUCACCUUCCCUGAUCCUUGCAGA
RNA transcript from Nycticebus coucang (slow loris), 2842 nucleotides. It is a transcript of the gene named forkhead box protein M1-like, with no coding region annotated. The record is from RefSeq and is a predicted model, not a curated record. The transcript has a single exon. Lineage: Eukaryota; Metazoa; Chordata; Mammalia; Primates; Lorisidae.